RNAcentral lists this ribosomal RNA (1680 nucleotides) under Escherichia coli. Its description in RNAcentral is "partial 23S ribosomal RNA". It matches the Rfam family "Bacterial large subunit ribosomal RNA", at positions 165 to 1869 of the family's 2925-position model. The record is from RNAcentral. Lineage: Bacteria; Pseudomonadati; Pseudomonadota; Gammaproteobacteria; Enterobacterales; Enterobacteriaceae.
CAUAGGUUAAUGAGGCGAACCGGGGGAACUGAAACAUCUAAGUACCCCGAGGAAAAGAAAUCAACCGAGAUUCCCCCAGUAGCGGCGAGCGAACGGGGAGCAGCCCAGAGCCUGAAUCAGUGUGUGUGUUAGUGGAAGCGUCUGGAAAGGCGCGCGAUACAGGGUGACAGCCCCGUACACAAAAAUGCACAUGCUGUGAGCUCGAUGAGUAGGGCGGGACACGUGGUAUCCUGUCUGAAUAUGGGGGGACCAUCCUCCAAGGCUAAAUACUCCUGACUGACCGAUAGUGAACCAGUACCGUGAGGGAAAGGCGAAAAGAACCCCGGCGAGGGGAGUGAAAAAGAACCUGAAACCGUGUACGUACAAGCAGUGGGAGCACGCUUCGGCGUGUGACUGCGUACCUUUUGUAUAAUGGGUCAGCGACUUAUAUUCUGUAGCAAGGUUAACCGAAUAGGGGAGCCGAAGGGAAACCGAGUCUUAACUGGGCGUUAAGUUGCAGGGUAUAGACCCGAAACCCGGUGAUCUAGCCAUGGGCAGGUUGAAGGUUGGGUAACACUAACUGGAGGACCGAACCGACUAAUGUUGAAAAAUUAGCGGAUGACUUGUGGCUGGGGGUGAAAGGCCAAUCAAACCGGGAGAUAGCUGGUUCUCCCCGAAAGCUAUUUAGGUAGCGCCUCGUGAAUUCAUCUCCGGGGGUAGAGCACUGUUUCGGCAAGGGGGUCAUCCCGACUUACCAACCCGAUGCAAACUGCGAAUACCGGAGAAUGUUAUCACGGGAGACACACGGCGGGUGCUAACGUCCGUCGUGAAGAGGGAAACAACCCAGACCGCCAGCUAAGGUCCCAAAGUCAUGGUUAAGUGGGAAACGAUGUGGGAAGGCCCAGACAGCCAGGAUGUUGGCUUAGAAGCAGCCAUCAUUUAAAGAAAGCGUAAUAGCUCACUGGUCGAGUCGGCCUGCGCGGAAGAUGUAACGGGGCUAAACCAUGCACCGAAGCUGCGGCAGCGACGCUGAUGCGUUGUUGGGUAGGGGAGCGUUCUGUAAGCCUGUGAAGGUGUGCUGUGAGGCAUGCUGGAGGUAUCAGAAGUGCGAAUGCUGACAUAAGUAACGAUAAAGCGGGUGAAAAGCCCGCUCGCCGGAAGACCAAGGGUUCCUGUCCAACGUUAAUCGGGGCAGGGUGAGUCGACCCCUAAGGCGAGGCCGAAAGGCGUAGUCGAUGGGAAACAGGUUAAUAUUCCUGUACUUGGUGUUACUGCGAAGGGGGGACGGAGAAGGCUAUGUUGGCCGGGCGACGGUUGUCCCGGUUUAAGCGUGUAGGCUGGUUUUCCAGGCAAAUCCGGAAAAUCAAGGCUGAGGCGUGAUGACGAGGCACUACGGUGCUGAAGCAACAAAUGCCCUGCUUCCAGGAAAAGCCUCUAAGCAUCAGGUAACAUCAAAUCGUACCCCAAACCGACACAGGUGGUCAGGUAGAGAAUACCAAGGCGCUUGAGAGAACUCGGGUGAAGGAACUAGGCAAAAUGGUGCCGUAACUUCGGGAGAAGGCACGCUGAUAUGUAGGUGAAGUCCCUCGCGGAUGGAGCUGAAAUCAGUCGAAGAUACCAGCUGGCUGCAACUGUUUAUUAAAAACACAGCACUGUGCAAACACGAAAGUGGACGUAUACGGUGUGACGCCUGCCCGGUGC